UAGGGAAUCUUCGGCAAUGGACGGAAGUCUGACCGAGCAAUGCCGCGUGAGCGACGAAGGUCUUCGGAUCGUAAAGCUCUGUUAUGAGGGAAGAAGAGCACCGAUAGGAAAUGAUCGGUGUGUGACGGUACCUCAUGAGCAAGCCACGGCUAACUACGUGCCAGCAGCCGCGGUAAUACGUAGGUGGCGAGCGUUGUCCGGAAUUAUUGGGCGUAAAGGGUGCGUAGGCGGUCAAUUAAGUCUGGUCUGAAAGUCCAUGGCUCAACCAUGGGAUUGGAUUAGAAACUGGUUGACUUGAGGGUAAGAGAGGAAAGUGGAAUUCCACGUGUAGCGGUGAAAUGCGUAGAGAUGUGGAGGAACACCAGUGGCGAAGGCGGCUUUCUGGCUUACACCUGACGCU
This 400-nucleotide ribosomal RNA is filed under the name uncultured bacterium. RNAcentral describes it as "bacterial SSU rRNA". It matches the Rfam family "Bacterial small subunit ribosomal RNA", at positions 355 to 747 of the family's 1533-position model. The record is from RNAcentral.